Molecule: long non-coding RNA, 336 nt
Organism: Saccostrea echinata
Lineage: Eukaryota; Metazoa; Mollusca; Bivalvia; Ostreida; Ostreidae
Exons: 3
Source: RefSeq, a predicted model, not a curated record
CAAAAGCCUUUGUACCAGGAGAUGAACUGUGUCCUCUGCUACUCUUGUUCUGAACUACAAGAACCUGCUGUCAUCAAAAAUAGUCAGAAGAUCGAAAGUGGUGAAUUUCCGGACCUUCCUGUCUUGUUUGGGGUUCAUCAAGGUCAUCAAAGAAUUCAACGCCUUCAUCUGUUCUUGUCCACCAAACAUCUUCACCAACCAGCAUAAAGUCUGCUAUCCUUUCCAAGUGGGCCUGAAAUAGCAGUGGAUUCUUCUCUCACCUUGAAAUUGCCCCACAGGAUGUUUUCCCUGCCUAUGAUAGUGCAGCAGCAAAUAUAUCUACAUUGUACACGUAUG